RNAcentral lists this transfer RNA (77 nucleotides) under Nitrosomonas stercoris. RNAcentral describes it as "tRNA-Met". It matches the Rfam family "tRNA". From Rfam's summary of the family: Transfer RNA (tRNA) molecules are approximately 80 nucleotides in length. The record is from RNAcentral. Lineage: Bacteria; Pseudomonadati; Pseudomonadota; Betaproteobacteria; Nitrosomonadales; Nitrosomonadaceae.
GGGUCUGUAGCUCAGUUGGUUAGAGCAGGGGACUCAUAAUCCCUUGGUCGCUGGUUCAAGUCCAGCCAGACCCACCA